Molecule: long non-coding RNA, 332 nt
Organism: Alosa alosa (allis shad)
Lineage: Eukaryota; Metazoa; Chordata; Actinopteri; Clupeiformes; Clupeidae
Exons: 3
Source: RefSeq, a predicted model, not a curated record
AGAGAGUUCGCUGGCAUCCUGUGCUUAGCUGCAGGGUUAAUCCUUUCGUGCGCUUUUUCCCCGAUGUUUCUUGGUGUCGGGAGGCCUGGCGGAACCUAAUAGGUAUGUCCUUAAUGUGCUUUUUCCAGGCGCCGGGAAAUUGCUGGUUCUACUGGACAUGGAGCAGGUUGCCCGAGAUGUGCAGGUGUUUGGUAUUGCCCUGAUGAGCACCUGUAUUUGAAGGCCUGGGUUCCAAGCGCAGAUGGGCUUCCUCUCCUCUCGUCCGUCGUCUUUUUGUUUUGUUUGAACACAUCCCUAGACAUACACUCACACUACACCUUGCUUUUAUUCAC